Molecule: ribosomal RNA, 449 nt
Filed under: uncultured bacterium
Lineage: Bacteria
Description: bacterial SSU rRNA
Rfam family: Bacterial small subunit ribosomal RNA
Source: RNAcentral
GCCAGACUCCUACGGGAGGCAGCAGUGGGGAAUAUUGGACAAUGGGGGGAACCCUGAUCCAGCGACGCCGCGUGAGUGAAGAAGUAUUUCGGUAUGUAAAGCUCUAUCAGCAGGGAAGAAAGAAAUGACGGUACCUGACUAAGAAGCCCCGGCUAACUACGUGCCAGCAGCCGCGGUAAUACGUAGGGGGCAAGCGUUAUCCGGAUUUACUGGGUGUAAAGGGAGCGUAGACGGCAGUGCAAGCCUGAUGUGAAAGCCCGGGGCUCAACCCCGGGACUGCAUUGGGAACUGCCCCGCUCGAGUGCCGGAGGGGCAGGCGGAAUUCCUAGUGUAGCGGUGAAAUGCGUAGAUAUUAGGAGGAACACCAGUGGCGAAGGCGGCCUGCUGGACGGUGUACUGACGCUGAGGCUCGAAAGCGUGGGGAGCAAACAGGAUUAGAUACCCGAGUA